This 253-nucleotide ribosomal RNA is filed under the name uncultured bacterium. RNAcentral describes it as "partial 16S ribosomal RNA". It matches the Rfam family "Bacterial small subunit ribosomal RNA", at positions 524 to 776 of the family's 1533-position model. The record is from RNAcentral.
UACGGGGGGUGCGAGCGUUGUCCGGAAUCACUGGGCGUAAAGGGCGCGUAGGUGGUGUCGUAAGUCUGUGGUGAAAGCCCGGGGCUCAACCCCGGGUCUGCCGCGGAGACUGCGAGACUCGAGUACUGUAGGGGCUGGUAGAAUGCCGGGUGUAGCGGUGGAAUGCGUAGAGAUCCGGCGGAAGACCGGUGGCGAAGGCGGCCAGCUGGGCAGUGACUGACACUGAGGCGCGACAGCGUGGGGAGCAAACAGG